Manis javanica (Malayan pangolin) is the source of this 103-nucleotide small nuclear RNA. NCBI's taxonomy places the organism in Eukaryota, Metazoa, Chordata, Mammalia, Pholidota, Manidae. The record is from RefSeq and is a predicted model, not a curated record.
AUGCUUCAACAGCAAAUAUACUAAAAUUGGAACAGUAUACAGAAGAUAAGCAUGUCCCCUGAGCAAGGAUGACAUGCAAAUUUGUGAAAUUUUCCAUAUUUUU